Molecule: ribosomal RNA, 694 nt
Filed under: Alicyclobacillus acidocaldarius
Lineage: Bacteria; Bacillati; Bacillota; Bacilli; Caryophanales; Alicyclobacillaceae
Description: bacterial SSU rRNA
Rfam family: Bacterial small subunit ribosomal RNA
Source: RNAcentral
GACCUCUUCGGAGGUCAGCGGCGGACGGGUGAGGAACACGUGGGUAAUCUGCCUUUCAGACCGGAAUAACGCCCGGAAACGGGCGCUAAUGCCGGAUACGCCCGCGAGGAGGCAUCUUCUUGCGGGGAAAGGCCCAAAUGGGCCGCUGAGAGAGGAGCCCGCGGCGCAUUAGCUGGUUGGCGGGGUAACGGCCCACCAAGGCGACGAUGCGUAGCCGACCUGAGAGGGUGACCGGCCACACUGGGACUGAGACACGGCCCAGACUCCUACGGGAGGCAGCAGUAGGGAAUCUUCCGCAAUGGGCGCAAGCCUGACGGAGCAACGCCGCGUGAGCGAAGAAGGCCUUCGGGUUGUAAAGCUCUGUUGCUCGGGGAGAGCGGCAUGGGGAGUGGAAAGCCCCAUGCGAGACGGUACCGAGUGAGGAAGCCCCGGCUAACUACGUGCCAGCAGCCGCGGUAAAACGUAGGGGGCGAGCGUUGUCCGGAAUCACUGGGCGUAAAGGGUGCGUAGGCGGUCGAGCAAGUCUGGAGUGAAAGUCCAUGGCUCAACCAUGGGAUGGCUCUGGAAACUGCUUGACUUGAGUGCUGGAGAGGCAAGGGGAAUUCCACGUGUAGCGGUGAAAUGCGUAGAGAUGUGGAGGAAUACCAGUGGCGAAGGCGCCUUGCUGGACAGUGACUGACGCUGAGGCACGAAA